RNAcentral lists this long non-coding RNA (1121 nucleotides) under Equus caballus (horse). Its description in RNAcentral is "lncRNA (ENSECAG00000043290.2)". The record is from RNAcentral. Lineage: Eukaryota; Metazoa; Chordata; Mammalia; Perissodactyla; Equidae.
GGCCGACUUCUCACGGUGGCUCAGGGUGGGGAGCCCAGCCCAACGCAGCCAGGGCACCGGGCAGAGGUCAGGGUUUCGCUGCAGGGCCUCUUCUGCUCUCGGGACCUCAGCCCCGGCAGACAGCCAGGCACUCAGCGGAGGAGAGUGGCCCACCCACAUCUCCCCCGGACUCCUCCACCAAACAGACCAUGGGGACCAGGUGGACACAGGAGACCAGUGAGGGGUGCCUGCCAUGGCCCAGAAGAGUAUAGACAAGGCUGGUCUGAGGGGAGGCCAAGGUGACAUGCGUGCAUGCCCAUGGGCCCAUGUGUGCCGACCUGGAGUUGGGCCUGGGCCCCGAAAGGCCACCAGGGUGGGUUUGUGUGGCGGGUGCUGAGGUCGAGGCACUCAUCAUGCAUCCGUGAGUCACACGUAUUCCUUUCCGGGAGCACCUGAGUUCUGCCCACCACAGCUGCCCCCUCUUCAAGGCCCUGAGCUUCAGCCCGUCUCCAGGGUCUCCCAGGCCCUCUCGUAGGAGGCCGAGCCCUGGUUUGGGCACCCCCACACCUUCCUCCUUGGGGUGGGGAUCCUGGAUGGGCAGCGGCCCUGCCCGCCCUGGCCACUCCAUGAGCACACCACGAAUGAAGCCAUUCCCUGGCCUUAGGCAAGCAGGCCCUGGACCCAAGAGCCUGCACACAGGACGACGCUGCCGGGACGUGAUUGAAUCCAGUCUCCUCCGGGCAACCGUCUUCCUGGGAGGGAACUUACGGCCGGCUGACCAGGACAGAAAAACGGAAACUCCCCCCACAGUGGUCCAGCCAUAGACGCCUCCACCAGGAAGCCCUCUGGGAAGAAGACGGCCUCUGCGUCCCAGCUCUGUCCAGUGGCCUCCAAGGUCCCCACCCAGCAUCAGCCCUGAGCAUGAGCAGGCAUCGUGUGGGGGGUAAGCCGUUGGCAAGGCCACUUGGCUCUACCUUCAAGACAUACCAGAGCCUAACGCGUCCCGCCGCCUGGUCCCCUCCCGCUGGGACCUGCGCCCACCUCCUCACCGGCCCCUCCUCUGCACACAACCUCUGGAAAACCUUAAUCAGGUCAUAUCCCCGUCUUGGCCAGGCCCCCCGGGCUGCCGUCUCACUCCAAUA